This 450-nucleotide ribosomal RNA is filed under the name uncultured bacterium. RNAcentral describes it as "partial 16S ribosomal RNA". It matches the Rfam family "Bacterial small subunit ribosomal RNA", at positions 354 to 796 of the family's 1533-position model. The record is from RNAcentral.
GUGGGGAAUUUUGGACAAUGGGCGCAAGCCUGAUCCAGCAAUGCCGCGUGCAGGAAGAAGGCCUUCGGGUUGUAAACUGCUUUUGUACGGAACGAAACGGCUCUGGUUAAUACCCGGGGCUAAUGACGGUACCGUAAGAAUAAGCACCGACUAACUACGUGCCAGCAGCCGCGGUAAUACGUAGGGUGCAAGCGUUAAUCGGAAUUACUGGGCGUAAAGCGUGCGCAGGCGGUUUUGUAAGACAGGCGUGAAAUCCCCGGGCUCAACCUGGGGAUGGCGCUUGUGACUGCAAAGCUCGAGUGCGGCAGAGGGGGAUGGAAUUCCGCGUGUAGCAGUGAAAUGCGUAGAUAUGCGGAGGAACACCGAUGGCGAAGGCAAUCCCCUGGGCCUGCACUGACGCUCAUGCACGAAAGCGUGGGGAGCAAACAGGAUUAGAAACCCUAGUAGUCC